This is a long non-coding RNA of Marmota monax (woodchuck), 1599 nucleotides long. RefSeq lists it as uncharacterized. The transcript is spliced from 2 exons. Lineage: Eukaryota; Metazoa; Chordata; Mammalia; Rodentia; Sciuridae. The record is from RefSeq and is a predicted model, not a curated record.
AAGGGCUCCCAGGCGGGGCCGCCCAUGGGUGGGGCUUGGGGAGGUCUGUGGGCCUGGGUGGGUGAAAAGUGCAUCUUUAUAUUCAUUAUCCUCGAGCUAAAAUGUGGCAUUCCAUUGGGAAUAUAGACCAGGAAAAGAAAAAAAGCAAAGAAGAGUCACCUAGAAGAGACUGCAGUGUUCCUCGAUGCAUUUUAUGUGAUCUAAUUCCACACGACCGUACCAUGCACUCAGAUACAGCAUAAUAGAUGGAGCAAAUGCCAUAAUUUCAUUCUUCCUCAAGGCUGAGUAAUAGCCCAUUGUGUAUUUAUAUCACAAUUUCUUUAUCCAUUCAUCUGUUGAAGGACACCAAGGUUAGUUCCAUAGUUUAUCGAUUGUGCAUUGAGCUGCUACAGACAUUGGUGUGGCUGCGUCGCUGUAGUAUGCUGAUUUUUAGUCCUUUGGGGAGUAGGAGGAUGAUAACUGGGUCAAAUGGUGGUUGCAUUCCAGAGUUUCUGAGGAAUCUCCAUUCUGCUUUCCAGAGUGGUUGCACCAAUUUGCAGUCCUACUCAUCAAUACUUUUUAGUGACUAUAGUACUAGAAUUUCCACUGCACUUUACCAUUUAAUGCACUAUCAAAUAUAUAUGUGCAAAUACAUUUAUAUAUAAUAUCUAUGCAAAUAUGUAAAGUAUAUAUCAAAAUUUGUAAUAUUUUAAGAAAUGUGAAGGAAAAAAAAGAAAUGUGCUACCAUUUAGUUUCCCAUAUAAUCUUUAAAAUAUUUUAUUGCAUGCUUUUUAAAACAUUACAUUUGAGGCAGGUUGCAGGAGUUUCCCCAGAGCACCAAAGGGCUCCUUUCCUGAUGGAAAGGUAGGACCAGAGCCACGGGCAGCCUGGCACCUGGCCCGGAGCCAGGAGGAGCAGGCACUGUUAGCCAAGGACCAGUUGAAACGGGAAGACACAAGUGUGCUGCCUUUAUUCAAGAGGCUUUAGAAAACUGUGACCCUGUCCAUGAGUAAGAGCAUUUCAUCCACAAGUAGAACAGAUACCAUGGAGGCUCCCUGUGUGCCAGGCUCUCAUUCUGCAGUGAGUAAAAGAGACUAAAAGCUCUGCUCUUGCGUGGCUUAUAUUCUGAAGGGGAGAUCAAUAAGUAAAUGAAAGUGAAAUCUAUAGUAUGUUAGUGGAGAAAGGCCGUGGAAAAUGAAGGGUGUCUGCCAUUUGGGGGUGGGGGGUACUGGGGAUUAAACUCAGGGGCACUUGGCCACUGAGCCACAUCCCAAGCCCCACUUUGUAUUUGAUUUAGAGACAGGGUCUCACUGAGUUGCUCAGCACCUCACUUUUCUGAGGCUGGCUUUGAACUCAUGAUCCUCCUGCCUCAGCCUCCCGAGCCACUGGGAUUACAGGUGUGCGCCACCGCGCCGCGUUUGCCAUUUUAAUAGCACAGUCAGGGAAAGCAUCCUAAGAGGUCAUGUCUGACCUAUUCGGUUUCAAAGGGGAGAUUCUCAGUCAGGUGCUAAUUAGAUGUUCUCUGUUACUAGGAAUAUCCCUUUGCAAUAAAAAAGAGCGCCUAACUCUGUUUUAGCUCUUUGUGCGAUGAACAGUGUCUGAUUAAAGUGUCUAGCGCUC